GCAUAUCAAUAAGCGGAGGAAAAGAAACCAACCGGGAUUGCCUUAGUAACGGCGAGUGAAGCGGCAAAAGCUCAAAUUUGAAAUCUGGUACCUUCGGUGCCCGAGUUGUAAUUUGGAGAGGGCAACUUUGGGGCCGUUCCUUGUCUAUGUUCCUUGGAACAGGACGUCAUAGAGGGUGAGAAUCCCGUGUGGCGAGGAGUGCGGUUCUUUGUAAAGUGCCUUCGAAGAGUCGAGUUGUUUGGGAAUGCAGCUCUAAGUGGGUGGUAAAUUCCAUCUAAAGCUAAAUAUUGGCGAGAGACCGACAGCGAACAAGUACAGUGAUGGAAAGAUGAAAAGAACUUUGAAAAGAGAGUGAAAAAGUACGUGAAAUUGUUGAAAGGGAAGGGCAUUUGAUCAGACAUGGUGUUUUGUGCCCUCUGCUCCUUGUGGGUAGGGGAAUCUCGCAUUUCACUGGGCCAGCAUCAGUUUUGGUGGCAGGAUAAAUCCAUAGGAAUGUAGCUUGCCUCGGUAAGUAUUAUAGCCUGUGGGAAUACUGCCAGCUGGGACUGAGGACUGCGACGUAAGUCAAGGAUGCUGGCAUAAUGGUUAUAUGCCGCCCGUCUUGAAACACGGACCA
Molecule: ribosomal RNA, 616 nt
Filed under: uncultured yeast
Lineage: Eukaryota; Fungi
Description: eukaryotic LSU rRNA
Rfam family: Eukaryotic large subunit ribosomal RNA
Source: RNAcentral